CGGAACGGGUGAGUAAUACAUCGGAACGUGUCCGCUCGUGGGGGACAACCAGCCGAAAGGUUGGCUAAUACCGCAUGAGUUCUACGGAAGAAAGAGGGGGACCCGCAAGGGCCUCUCGCGAGCGGAGCGGCCGAUGACUGAUUAGCCGGUUGGUGAGGUAACGGCUCACCAAAGCAACGAUCAGUAGCUGGUCUGAGAGGACGACCAGCCACACUGGGACUGAGACACGGCCCAGACUCCUACGGAAGGCAGCAG
RNAcentral lists this ribosomal RNA (255 nucleotides) under uncultured bacterium. RNAcentral's name for it is "partial 16S ribosomal RNA". It matches the Rfam family "Bacterial small subunit ribosomal RNA", at positions 98 to 354 of the family's 1533-position model. The record is from RNAcentral.